This 140-nucleotide ribosomal RNA is filed under the name uncultured eukaryote. Its description in RNAcentral is "partial 18S ribosomal RNA". It matches the Rfam family "Eukaryotic small subunit ribosomal RNA", at positions 1299 to 1458 of the family's 1831-position model. The record is from RNAcentral.
UGGUGGAGUGAUUUGUCUGGUUAAUUCCGUUAACGAACGAGACCUCGACCUGCUAAAUAGUUGGUAGAAUCCUUGGAUUCUGACACGACUUCUUAGAGGGACUAUCGGUGUGUAGCCGAUGGAAGUUCGAGGCAAUAACA